CGCUCCUCGCAGUAGAGCGCGUCAUUCGCAUUGACGAGGUCAGCGGUUCGACUCCGCUAGGGUCCA
RNAcentral lists this transfer RNA (66 nucleotides) under Patescibacteria group bacterium. Its description in RNAcentral is "tRNA-Ala". It matches the Rfam family "tRNA", at positions 9 to 71 of the family's 71-position model. From Rfam's summary of the family: Transfer RNA (tRNA) molecules are approximately 80 nucleotides in length. The record is from RNAcentral.